AAGUAUAUGUACAGGUAAAUUACAAGCAUCAUUACAAUUCUCCCCUAAAUAUUUUGGCCUGUCUCACCUACAUAUUUUGGCCUGUCUCACCUAAAAAUAACAUGCACCAACAGACGCGCCCAAUGUAGCAUUUUCACACUUAGCAAAAAUUAACAAUUUCCUAAUGUCAUCUAACAUGCAGUCCAUAUUCAGAUUUUUCCAAAUGUCCCUUAAAUGUCUUUUAUGGCUGUUUCUAUUUUCCAUAUCAAGAUUCAAGGAGAAUCACAAAUUCCAUCUGGUUUUGAUGUCUCUUUACUUUCCUCUUUUCUAAAAGAUCCCUACCCUUUCAUCAAUGACAUUGGGAAGCGUCCAGGCCAAUUAUCUUGUAGAACGUCCCACAUUCUGGAUUUCUGUGAUUGUUUCCUCAGGCAGGGGUGUGCUAUGUAACUUUUCUAGGCUUAUAUCCCCAUCUGUGAAAUGGGUAUCCUCACAGUAGCUGCCGCCGGUUACUCCACACGGUAGAUGCGAGGAUUAAAUGCAGAAAUGCUUGGCAAGUGCUCGGUCUGGUAUUUGGCACAAAGUAAAUGGUGCUAUUGACAUUGCCAUCAGCAUCCUCCGCAUCACCAGCACGGUGCUCAGCACCCCAGGUUCCAAGCCGCAGUGACACGUGAACUCGCCCGAUCCUUUCCUCACCCUUCCGGGAUCUCAGGCUCAUUUUGCUCUGUUCCUUCUGUCCUGCAGAGCUUAAUUGAUUAAAUGCAUCUCUCACUAGCCCCUCCAAGAACGGGUGGUUAACCUCUACCCGUCCUCCUAAGGACACGCUCUUUGUUCAGAAUCACAGUUGCAUUACCCCAGAAUGGCUCAGACGAUCGUGAGGCAUUGACCGGUGCGGUGCCCACCCAAGAAGGAAAAUUUCCUUAAAUUAUACAUGAAUUGCUGAAGUAGCAUUCCCGUUGCCUUGGAAAGGUGCAAAGGAUUGCACUCGCGAAACCUUAGUGGAAGGGAAUGUCUGUGGUCAGGAGCGGCACCAACCUGGCAGUCAGACCGACCUUAGACUCCUAGCCCCGUUACUUCCCUGCUGACUAGCUUUGGGCUAAUUACUUUACCUCAUUAAGAUCAACGUCCUCAUCUGUGAAAUAGAGGUUAACUCAGCAGGCUUGGGAUGGCCAAACCAUACACAUUUCAAAGAAAAGGAAUGGCCUUUGAUCUGCUUCUGGGAGAUGACCUCUAAGCCCUUGACUAUCUUGCCUGAUGAGAGUGGCUUCAUAUACCUGGGAUCUUGGGUCAUGCUAGUUGGUUUAUACUAAUGUGUGAUUUAUGGUGGGGGCUUUGGGUCAUUCUGUAUUAGUUCAAUUUCUGGAGAGGCUGGAGACCGAGUAACUAAGAUCAGUCACACAGUCAUUCUGUGUCUCCAUGACUGAUCCCCAACAAAAACCACAGACAUCAAAUCUUAGGUAAGCGUCCCUGGUUGACAAUACUUUGUGUGUUGUCACAUAUUAUUAUUGGGAGAAUUAAGCAAUAUCCCUGUCAUUCCACUGAGAGGACAUAGCUGGAGGCUAGUGCUGGGACUGUCCUGUGUACCUUUCUCCUUUGAUGGUUUUAAUCAGUAUCCUUUCACUGUAAUACCACUGAGCCACCAGG
Bos taurus (domestic cattle) is the source of this 1620-nucleotide long non-coding RNA. The record is from Ensembl. NCBI's taxonomy places the organism in Eukaryota, Metazoa, Chordata, Mammalia, Artiodactyla, Bovidae.